GGCUUGUUGGUCUAGGGGUAUGAUUCUCGCUUUGGGUGCGAGAGGUCCCGGGUUCAAAUCCCGGAUGAGCGCA
RNAcentral lists this transfer RNA (73 nucleotides) under Danionella cerebrum. RNAcentral describes it as "tRNA-Pro". It matches the Rfam family "tRNA". From Rfam's summary of the family: Transfer RNA (tRNA) molecules are approximately 80 nucleotides in length. The record is from RNAcentral. Lineage: Eukaryota; Metazoa; Chordata; Actinopteri; Cypriniformes; Danionidae.